AAACUUCAGAAAGUUAUUUCAGUUCCUCUCUCACUGGUCUAUGUUUGUUCCCCCUGAAGCUAUGUGCUUAGAUGACUGAAGAUGAUGAUUUUCUAUGAUAGAGGACAAGUCUUUACUCAAAGGUAUAGAGUGGCUGUGUUUCUCUCCUAGAACCUCCAAAUAAGCUCUCAAGAGAUAGCUAUUUCUAUGCUCUGGAGGAAGUCACCAUGAACUUCAAGUCUAAUCCCUGGGUUGGUACCAUUACCCAGGG
Molecule: small nuclear RNA, 250 nt
Filed under: Meriones unguiculatus (Mongolian gerbil)
Lineage: Eukaryota; Metazoa; Chordata; Mammalia; Rodentia; Muridae
Description: 7SK RNA (ENSMUGG00000005243.1)
Rfam family: 7SK RNA
About the family: 7SK was discovered as an abundant small nuclear RNA in the mid-70s but a possible function has only recently been suggested. Two independent studies have found that 7SK RNA binds the CDK9/cyclin T complex (known as elongation factor P-TEFb).
Source: RNAcentral